AAGCCUUCUUGAACAUACAAUGUAUAAAAUUCUCUUCUUCCAGCUGACAAAGCAGCCAAAACUGGACCGACACCAUAAACACCUUGGCCAACCAGUCUAGGUACCGACGAUUCACUAGCCUCUUGCCAUGUCUUUCUGCCCCAACUUUCCUGCCUAUCCCACCUUCUAUACUCAGGUUUCUCAGCAUUGACAUCUUCCAUUCUCCUGAACCUAUUCUUGAUCUGAUCCCACCUUGGAUCAUCACCAGCCUCCAUUUCUUGUUCUUCUCCACUCCCUUCUGAAUUGGCUUCUUCCUGUCUUCUAUCCCUCACACUGUACUCACUUUGCCUAUCCCUCGCACUGUACUCACUUCGCCUAUCCCUCGCACUGACCUCACUUCGCCUAUCCCUCCCACUGUACUCACUUUGCCUAUCCCUCCCACUGUACUCACUUCGCCUAUCCCUCUCACUGUACUCACUUCGCCUAUCCUUCAUUCCAUUUCUUCUUUCUGCACUCUUCCUUUCCGAUGGACCACCAUUCCCAACAAGACCUUCUGCAGACACCUCCCAAGAAGACCGCUCAGUUUUCGGCUUCCUUUCUUCCUCUACUCUUUUCACUGAUUUGUCCCAAGAGGACUUACUACGGUGGUCUCCACCUCUACUCCUGGCCUCUUCCCCAGAAGAACCAGCAUUGCUGUCUUUCUCCAACCUCUUAGCAGACUCCCCCCAAGACGAAAGGGGUGUUUUCGUAGCCGUUGCUCGCUGCUCCAACCGUUUCGCUUCCUUAGCUGCCAACCACGGCAGCCUACUUCCAUUUCUCCCCUCACCGCUUCUCCCUCCAAUACCCUCAUUAGUCCAAUUCGAAAAACCUCUCCCUCUCACCAAAACCCAAUUCUGUGUACCACUUUUAACCCUGAACCCGCUCGAAUAACAUCUGGGUUUCACAACACCGUCAUUUCCUACAACCCUAUAACUAGAACCAUUAUGAAAAUCAACCAAGGGGGAUUGGGGUUUACUAAAGCUAAGGUUUAGUGAGGUUUUUGGGUGAGCACCAAUCUGUAAAGACUGGGACUUUUGGGUAUCAAACCCUUUAAAGCUUCUGGGUUUCGAGCAAACCCUAAUAGCCAAUGGAAAUGCCUGACCCUUUGUCAGAUUAGUAGCAUACAUUUGGGUAGUAGCAACUAAUCACUAACAAGUUGACAACACCCUAGGAAACUUAAAAGCUCAAAACUUCAAACCCAGAUAUAUCCAAAUCCAAAAAGAACAAAACUUGAACCAGAAAAUCAAAAAGUAGAAGGCUUUGAUUACUGGGUACCUUAUCCGCAAGACAUCGCUAAGCUGCUACCUUCUGAAACUCAAUGAAGAAUGAAGAAGCUAGUAGCUGUGUAGUGAAGACUGGUUGAAACGACGCCGUUCAGGAUAAGAGGGAUGAAAGUGACCGAAACACCCUUUUCGUACUGAGCACACAGUAGGGCAAAUCCACCGCAACAAGGGUGUUUUCAUCAAAAACGCAAUUAUAGAAGGCCUCUUUAUAUUUCCGUGAAAAACCCCGAAAAAUCGCAAAACCCUAAACCCUACUAAACAAUGGGAACUCCAGAAACGUCUCGGGAGCCGUGCCCGGACAGAAUCCUGGACGACGCCGGCGGCGCGUUCGGGAUGGGCGUAGUCGGAGGAGGCGCGUACCACUUCCUCAAAGGACUCUACAACUCGCCCAAGGGCGCGCGUCUCUACGGCGGCGCGCAGGCACUCCGGAUGAACGCGCCGCGCGUGGGCGGGUCCUUCGCCGUGUGGGGCGGCGUUUUCUCCACCUUCGACUGCACGAUGGUGUACCUCCGCCAGAAAGAGGACCCCUGGAACUCGAUCCUCAGCGGCGCCGCCACCGGCGGGUUCCUCGCGAUGCGGCAGGGGAUGGGCGCGACGGCGAGGUCCGCCGCCAUGGGAGGCGUGCUGUUGGCGCUGAUCGAAGGCGCCGGGAUCAUGCUGACCACCGUGUUGGAGAAGAAUCAAAAUCAGGCGAUUAUGAUGGAGGACCCUGCUGCUGGUAUGACAGGUCUGCCUGGGCCUGAGGCGGAGGGAAGCUCCUCCUCCUCGGUUGGUUCGUGGUUGGGAGGGUGGUUUGGGAAAGGCAAAGAGGCUGAGGCGGCGGCGAGCAGCGGAAGCGAGACCACGAUUCUGGAGAGUUUCGAUGCGCCUCCGGUGCCGAGUUAUGACUACAAGUGAUGAUCUUGGUCAGUACUAUUGUAGGUGUAUCAUAUUGAAUUUUCGAUAUUAUAUUUCAAUGAUGUGUUUUGAAUUUUCACCGGGGAGAAUGAAAUGUUGGUUCUGGUUUGCUUUGGGAGUAAGAAAAUCCUAAAGCUGCAUUUAACUUCUGAGUUGUUUUGUUUAGUACAAUUUUGCUAUCAUUCUCUGCAGUUCUGCAUUUACUUGUCUGGCUCAUUCUGUCUUGCCCUGUAUAUGAAAGGUCAAAGCUUUGUGAAAGUUUAGAUGUUAGAAGUUAAAUGCUGGACCUUUGGUUUGUUGGAGCUUAUGUUGAUUAAACUUUGAGGUGGGAAUAGAUGUAAAGAUCAGAAUUUUUUAAAAUUUUAACCCCAAGUUUCUUGGGAUCAUGCAAGGUUUGAGAUGAUGUUUUGAAUACAGGUUAGGUGCUUUGUUCUGUGACCUCUGCAAAAUGAUUUGAAAUUUUGUUACUUGUGUGUUGGGUGGCUGCUGCAUACUUGAUAUUGCGUUGAACUAUUUGAAAGCAGGACAUUUCCUGCCAGAGCUAGGUAUGAAUUACUGCAUAAACUUGAUUGGCUCUAUAAGGCAAGCCAGACUAAUAGCAGUUUAGGGUUUCUGCACUAGACCUGGUGGCCAUGCCGUAUUAUUUGGUUUUCUUGUAUGCAAACAUGAGGUCGUGUAUGAUCUGCUUGGAAAAAUAACCUUUUCUGUAAUGUUAGCAUUACAAGGUUGUAUCUAGCACUAUUAUCCUGAUCUCUUUGAUAUCUUGCUAUUUAGAAGCAGGAGUUGCACCAUUUGCACGUAUGUGUGCCAUUGCAGAGAAAGAACCCUGUUGCUAGAGUUGUUGGAACCCCCAGAAGUUUUCAACAAUGUAGAUUUGUUAUUCAGUGUUAAGCAGUCUGCAUUCUGUAAAUACAUUACAUUUAUGGCCAAAUGCCGUUGCAUCUUCCAUUCUUUCGCUCUAAUACGGGCUAAAGGAUGGCACGUUGUUAGUCUCGGACAAUCAACUUUUAUUCUGCUAAACUUGGGAUUAUUUUCAUUGUUCAGUAGUUGAUAUUCCAAACCAGAUGGAGACAUGGAGUGAAUGUUAGAUCAAUCAAAUUCUUUUGGGUUUGUACUCAAGAAAUUUUAUGACUUUUAUCCCUUCUUUUGAAAACAAUAGACAAAAUUUUCAUUAUCUAGACGAACUCGACAUAUACAUACCGUUGGGACGUAGUUCAGUAAUCAAACCCUCUCCCUCCCAAACUUGCCAUGGUUUCUGCCUUUCGGGCAUCUCUAUUGCAGGUUUUCAGCGGGCCUCUGGUUCAAUACUUCUUUAUUAUUGUGAAAUGUAUAUGGUAUGACAAGUUCUAAGUCACGAUCAUUCUUCAUUGUUAUGGUGAAAUGUAUAUGGUAUGACUUACAAACCAAAACAAUUCAUAUUUUAGUUUUGCACAUAUAUGUGUAGCACAACAUGCCAUCAUGAUUUGAGGAAGUUCUAUCAUUUGAGGAAAAGGGAUGGCUAGACUAUGUACCUCUUAUGAUUUGGUUGCAAUUUUAUGUUAGUAACAUGAUAGGAAAUGUUGGAGGAAGCCGAAAAAUAGAUGAAUCACAAAAUGAGGCAGAGACAACUUAUGAAGUUUCAAGGACAUUUCAUUGUAAUGUGACAAAUUCAAGUUCGAAAUUUGGCAAUUUAGUGUUUUGUAACAAACUGAAAAUGAGGAACCUUUCAAAACUAUAAAUUAGGGAUUGCAUGGUUACCUCUCCUUGGCUACUUGAUGUGAUUGACUAAAUCUGAUCUGGUUACUCAUUGUGUAUAUAUUAGUCCUUGGUUACUUGAUGUGAUUGACUAAACCUAAUCCGGUUUAGUUACUCAUUCUGUAUAUAUUAGUUGAAGGACAACCACUUUAAAACAAAGCUAUUUAUCAAGCUAGUGAACUGAAGAAAAAAAAAAAUGCAAUUUUUCUUGAACACGGUAAGAAGUUUGCAGUUUACAAAGCUAGAAAAAACUGUAAAACGUUCACCAAAAUCCAUCAUAAAUAUGAGAUAAUUUUUUUAGGGGAGUGAAAUUUGCACAUCCUUAAUUACAACACACACCGACCCACUUUUUAUCAUAAAAUUAUCAAAAUGUCCCUGACUUGGACAAUUAAAAAAAAAAACAUGGAUGAUUCUGCCUUUCUAAUACUAAAAAAUGGGUCGGGUGUGUAGAUUAUAAUUGAGGAUGUGUAAAUUUCACUCUCUUUCUUUCAUUGACUAAAUGAAAAUGGAAAAAGAAUCCCAUCGCCUAGCGGCCCAAGGGCUUCGCCUACCGCAUAGAAAGUGGCAAUGACAGUUUUUCUAGCCCCGUCCACAAACAUGCACCAAAUGGCCCACCGCCUAGCGGCCCAAGAACUCCAUCUAGCCCACAUAUAAUUUUUUUUNNNNNNNNNNNNNNNNNNNNNNNNNNNNNNNNNNNNNNNNNNNNNNNNNNNNNNNNNNNNNNNNNNNNNNNNNNNNNNNNNNNNNNNNNNNNNNNNNNNNNNNNNNNNNNNNNNNNNNNNNNNNNNNNNNNNNNNNNNNNNNNNNNNNNNNNNNNNNNNNNNNNNNNNNNNNNNNUUUUUUUUUUUGGAGAAUAUAUAUUUUUAUUAAUUAAGUGCCUCUGUUGUAGAUUAAAAAUGAGAUAAUAAACAGAGGAUGAUCCUCAAAAUAGUCAAACACAUUUCACCUCCACUCCUUCCUCCACUCUCCCAUCACUUCCUCUCCGCUCCCCUCCGCCGCACCAUGUCCACCGCCGACGCCGCCGUAAGCCCCUCAACCACCCGCGUGGGCUGGAUCGGCACCGGCGUCAUGGGCCAGUCCAUGUGCGGCCACCUCCUCAAAGCCGGCUACACUGUCACCGUCUUCAACCGCACCAUCUCCAAAGCCCAGCCCCUCCUCGACUUGGGCGCCAAGCUCGCCGACUCCCCACGCGCCGUCGCGUCCCAAUCCGACGUCGUCUUCACCAUCGUCGGUUACCCCUCCGACGUCUGCUCCGUCCUCCUCGACCCCACCUCCGGCGCCCUCUCCGGCCUCCGCCCCGGCGGCGUCCUCGUCGACAUGACCACCUCCGAGCCCUCCCUCGCCGUCGAGAUCUCCCAGUCCGCCGCUGCGAAAAACUGCUCCUCGAUCGACGCGCCCGUCACCGGCGGAGACGUCGGCGCGAAAAACGGAACCUUGGCGAUUCUCGCGGGCGGGGACGAGAGCGUCGUCAAGAAGUUAAUUCCCCUUUUUGCCCUCAUGGGUAAGGUUAGUUACAUGGGUGCCCCCGGGAAGGGCCAGUUUGCCAAGCUAGCAAACCAGACCAUCAUAUGUUCCACAAUGCUGGGACUAGUAGAGGGCAUGAUGUUUGCACACAAGUCUGGGCUGGAUGUUAGCUUGUUCCUGAAGGCAAUCUCGGUUGGUGCGGCCGGGUCUAGAUCGUUGGAUUUGUAUGGAGGGAGGAUUUUGAAGAGGGAUUUCGAGCCGGGGUUCUAUGUGAAUCACUUUGUGAAGGACUUGGGGAUUUGUUUGAAGGAGUGCCAGAACAUGGGGCUGGCUCUGCCGGGUUUGGCAUUGGCUCAGCAGCUUUACUUGUCCCUCAAGGCUCAUGGUGAAGGCAAUUUGGGCACCCAAGCACUCAUUUUGGCUCUGGAGCGCCUCAACAAUGUGUCACUUGAAGAACAACAAGCUGGUUCGACGAAGUAAUAAUGUUGUUGUGAGUUGGUAUUAUAGUUUCAAGUAGUGAAGCCUAGUUAUUACUGCUGCUUCUGAAUGCUAUGAUGUUUGCCUUUGUUUGUUCUAGAAUGGAAUGUUUUACUGAGUUUUAGUACCGGCUUUCUAAUACCAUUGGGGCAUUGUGUCAUAGGGUCACGUUUUCUCUGUUCACUAGGAGUAAUUCUAUGUGCACAAACCUCUUUCUAAAUACACAGCCCUAUUUCUCUAAUUCUUUCGAAAAAUCAUACAAAAUGAAUCCAAAAUCUAUCCCAUACCAACCAGUUUCUAUUUCAUAACAAGUCACCCCUGCAUCACUGCAUGCGUGCACAGUUUGGAAAGCGAGCAAAAAGGAAUACAAUGAGGGGAGUAGUUUGUGCCUUGUGGUUUAGUCAAGCACACUACUAUUCUUCUCUUAUCACAGACAAUUGAAGAACAUGUAGUUCUUCCAGAAGAUAGCAAAGUAUGAAGAAACAGACAUGAUAACCCACCUUCAAAUCAAGCACGCCUAGCUCAAUGGAUCAAGGACUAAAAUAUCGGAAAUAUCGUUGGUUCAGAAAAAAAAAAAAAAAUCUUGAUAGAUAUAUCGAGAAAAUAUUAAAUAUUGAUGAAAAUUUUACCAAAAAAUAUAUAAAAAUUGUAUAUUCGAUCAAAAAUAUAUUAAAUGUAUAAUAUCAAAAAUAUAUGAAAAUUAAUAUCGAUGUGUUAAAAACAGAAAUUUCAAAAAAACAUCUAAGAUAUAAUAAAUAUUUUAGUCCUUAAAAUUUAAAAAAAUAUCGAGGAUAUAAAAGAUAUUUGAAUCCUCGCAAUGGAUUUGUUAGUCUUGACAAUUGGGACAAAUACCCAACCCACCUUUCACUUGUCCAGAACCCCUUUGUUUUCCAAUCCCAUUUGCUUCUACACAACCACUCCCCCCGUUUUUUCUCUGGACUGGGAUCCUCUGCUCAUAAAUCUCUGUUAAUAUUUCCUAAUAAAAGAAUCAUGGUCGUUCAUUCUAAAUCAAUGGCCAAUAUGUCUCGGCCUUACCACAAAAACCUAUUUUCUCAUAUCUUCUCCCUUCUCUCUGUCAAAUUAUCAUGUCCCAUCUCUCUCUCUCUCUCUCUCUCGGUUCUCUUCCCAACCGCCGGCUCCCCUCUGGCGUCCUUUUUCUCGAUUUGAAUCCUCCGACGUCCAUUCAAGGACAGGGUCUUCUUGCCGGAUUCCUCAGAAUGGCAAGUACCAAGGAGCUUUCCAAAUUAUCAAACUCUAGUUCAUUCUUCCUCAGUCACUAUCGCAAUUAGAAAUUGUCUAUGGUCUAGAAGGAAAGGCAUCCACAACCCUUCAAUUCUGCAAGAACAUGGUAUAAUUAAGAUAUUGAGUGAAGAGAUGACGAAAACGGAAAACCUCACUAAAAUCCAUAGAUCUGAAUACCAACUACAAACCUUAUAAUUCCUGUGUAAAUUACAAGCACCAACUACAAACCUAUAAUUCCUAUCCAAAUUACUAGCCACACUGUACAAAUAACUCAGAUCAAAGUAAAAUCUACAAUCAAUUCGAUUCUUUCUACUAAAAAGCAACUAAUCAUCACAUUGAUUCUAUAAACAAAAAAAUAUGCCGGAAGCUCUGCAAAAUCAACAAGAAAGCCGUCGGCAUCGAUUUUGGGACGACGAACUCGGCCGUCAAUGGUGGGUAGCCCACCAAAGUGACCAUCGCUGAGGGGGCAGAGAACGACCCCGUCCGUGGUGGCUUAUACUAAGAACGGCGAAAAGAUGAGAGAGAGAUGGGACACGUCAGAAUCACUGAACAAUCUUACGUGCUCGAAAUUCUAUUCAUAGACCAAUGGAAUCAUAACUCUGGGAAAGAAAAUAGGGAACAAAAUACCAAAACAUAAAUAAACCGAGUCAAAGUCUUCAAUCACAAAACACACUUGCUUUCUCUGGUCUUCGUUCAACAAUGUCGUUCUCUGUUCACGAUCUACUAGUUGCCCCCUACACGGAAGCUUCAAACGCCGUCUUGCAUAGCCUUAACGUUACUCUUUCGUCACCUAGUCUCUUACUCUUACGUUUCCGAUCUAAAACAUUAGUCUCAACUAUGUUCGUACAAUUUAUAUCAAGUGACGUGAAUUUAACAUUAUUUAAUUAAACAUAAUACUCGUAACGAAUAAUAUCAAGUGAACCACAUUUUGAGAAACCAUCUACGGUCAAUUUUACAUGUCAGCUAAUUAGAUAACAUGCAUGUAUCACAUAAGCACGUAAAUUGAGAUCUAAAUAGUUUCAUGAAACAUGGUUCAAUUAGCAUUGUUGGCUAUCGUCUCAAGCAUCUAACUCGAAAUCAAUAAUAUAUUACUUGGUCUAUUUCCUGGAAAUUACUUGGUAAUUACAAUAAGAUCAAGUCAACUAGUUGAUCUAUAUCACAAUUUUCUUGCUUGCAAAUGGAGCAAAAACAAAAUUUAACAGCCAACAGAUAGGCACAGAUCUUUCUUGAUCUAGUUAACGGUGUCUAUGAACUUCAUACGUUGACCAGAUUUUUCCAGGUCUUCCACUAAAAUUGCCAAAUGUCAUGAUGACCCUUCAAUGAUGCUAUUCAUCUCCAAAUUUCCGCACCUCUUAAAAUGAUUUGAUCACAAGUACUUAACUAUCUUGUUUUGUUCUGAAUUAUCCAUCCUCAAAGUUCAGGAACCACGAGGUUUCAGACCUCCAUACCCAAAUGACAACACCAAAACCUUGUCUAUACACCCUUCUCUUCUUCAUCUUCCUCAUCCAUGCCAACUCUCAGUCCCUUCAAGACAAGGAAGUAGUAGUCCUGCUCAAGUUAAAGUCAUAUUGGCUAUCUCCACCGGCCCUCAGCCAUUGGACUUCAUCAUCAAACUCUAGUUCCCACUGUAGCUGGCCAGAGAUCACCUGCACCGAGAACUCCGUUACCGGAUUAGUUCUCUACAACGUAAACCUCACCCUUCAAGUUCCGCCCUUCAUUUGUGACCUCAACAACCUCACACACCUUGACCUUGGUGAUAACUACCUCCCGGGAGAUUUUCCCUUGUCUCUCUACAACUGCUCCAAGUUAGAGUACUUGGACCUCUCAAAGAACUACUUUGUGGGAACUAUUCCUGAUGACAUCGACAAAUUGCCUAAGCUGCAGACGCUCAUUCUCGCCGGCAACAACUUCUCCGGUGACAUUCCUGCGUCUAUUGGGAAGUUGCAGGAGCUGACAACUUUGCAUUUAUACAUGAACCAGUUCAACGGCUCUGUCCCUGCAGAAAUAGGUAACCUCUCCAACCUUGAGUUCCUCUGGCUCUCUUGGCUUCCCAAAAUGGCGCCAUGGAAGCUGCCUUUUGAAUUCACCAUGUUCAAAAAGAUGAAGACAUUGAAGAUUCGUGAAGCGAAUUUGAUAGGAGAGAUACCGGAGUCUGUUGGAGAAAUGGAAGCACUUGAAGAAUUGGAUAUGUCGAUAAACAACUUGAGCGGGAAAAUACCAAGUGGUGUGUUACUGUUGAAGCAUUUGAGCAUUAUCUAUCUCUUCAAGAACAGACUUUCAGGGGAGAUUCCUCAAGUGGUUGAAGCAUUCAACUUGACCAUAAUCGACAUCUCAGAGAACAAUUUCACAGGGCCAAUACCACAAGGUUUCGGAAACCUUACUAAGUUGACAGACAUGAGUUUGUUCUACAAUGAUGGUAUUUCAGGUGAGAUUCCAGAGGGAAUUGGCCUCCUGCCAAAUCUUGUGAUUUUCAAAAUGUUCAACAUGAACUUGUCAGGUACAAUUCCUCCAGAGUUUGGUAAGCAUUCGCCGCUUGAAGAUUUCCAGGUUUCGGUGAAUAGGCUUACCGGGAAGCUGCCAGACGGUUUGUGUAAAAAUGGUAAGCUUGUGGGAGUUGUUGCUUAUGACAAUAGUCUCACUGGGGGGCUACCAAGCUCUCUUGAAAAUUGUGAUAGUCUGCUGGUAGUCACAGUUUAUGAUAACAAGUUAUCCGGGGACAUUCCUAGUGGUAUGUGGAAUGCAUUGAACUUGACUUAUGUGCUGAUAAGCAACAAUUCACUUACGGGUGAGCUUCCUGAGAAGAUGUCAGAUAAUCUUCUAAGGGUGGAAAUAGCUGACAACAAGUUUUCCGGUCAGAUUCCAAGAGGGGUGUCUUCCUGCAAGAAGCUGCAAGUUUUUGAUGCUCGUAAGAACCUCUUGAAUGGCACUAUUCCUCAGGAAUUAACUACUCUUCCGAGCUUGUCGAGUCUUCUCCUUCAUCAGAAUCGGCUUAGCGGGCCACUUCCAUCAGAUAUUGUAUCAUGGGAGUCGCUAAACAUUCUUGAUCUGAGCAGAAAUCAACUCUCCGGACCAAUUCCAGAGAAACUUGGUGUUUUGCCAUCUCUUACUGAGUUGGACCUCUCAGAAAACCAAUUUUCUGGCGAGAUUCCAAAUCAAUUUGCCAUUCUGAAACUCAACAAUUUAAACCUGUCUUCAAAUCUCCUCACUGGCGAGAUACCAACUUCACUUGAAAACUCUGCGAAUGAGAGAAGCUUCUUGAACAAUACUGCUCUAUGUGCAAGCACCAGUGGUUUCAAUGUCAAUAUAUGUUCUAGAUCACCAACCUCCGGCAAGAUUUCAAAUUGGUCUCUAGCUUUGAUCUUAAGUCUAAGCGCGGUGUCGUUCCUGUUGGUUCUGUUCUUAUUAGUCUUCUUUGUUAGAGGAUACAGGAGAAAGAAGGAUGGAUCACACGCAGACUGGAAACUCACUUCAUUUCAGAGGUGCAAUUUCACCUUAUCAAAAAUCUUGGCAGGGUUGACAGAAGGCAAUGUGAUUGGAAGUGGUGGAUCAGGAAAGGUUUAUCGUGUACCUGUGAAUCGUAUAGGUGAUGUUGUAGCUGCAAAGAGGAUUUGGACCAACAAGAAUAUCAUGGAGGAUAGGCUUGAAAAACAGUUUCUUGCAGAAGUCAAGAUACUGAGCUCAAUUCGACAUGCCAAUAUAGUGAAGCUGAUGUGCUGCAUUUCCAGUGAGAGUUCGAAACUUCUUGUAUAUGAGUACUCAGACAAUCGCAGCCUAGACCGAUGGUUGCACAAGAAAAACGAAACAUCCCUAUCCAACCUCUCAAGUUCAGUUCAUCAUGUUGUCCUGGACUGGCCUAAGAGGUUGCAGAUUGCAGUGGGAGCUGCUGAUGGCCUCUGCUACAUGCAUCAUGACUGUGUUCCACCCGUUAUUCAUCGAGAUGUGAAAUCAAGUAACAUUCUGUUGGAUUCUGAUUUCAACGCGAAAAUUGCAGAUUUUGGUCUUGCCAAGAUGUUAGUCAAGCAAGGAGACCUUGCCACAAUGUCAGCUGUUGCUGGCUCCUUUGGCUACAUGGCUCCAGGUAAUAACCUAUACACACAAAUACUCAAGUUAGUUCCUGAGAAAUGUGAUUUUCUGUGACCAAGUUUAAUUAAACUUAUCUUUUCAAUUUGAAUGCAGAAUACGCACAUUCCACAAGAGUGAAUGGGAAGAUUGACGUAUACAGUUUCGGGGUUGUCCUGCUCGAGUUGACAACUGGUAGAGAACCCAAUGAAGGUGAUGAGCACACUUCUCUUGCCGAAUGGGCGUGGCGACAUGGUCAAGAAGGCAAACCUAUCGCCGAUGCUCUGGACCAGGACGUCAAAGAACCUUGUUACAUGGAUGAAAUGAAUGCCGUCUUCAAACUCGGCAUAAUGUGCACUGAGAAAAAUCCUUCUAACAGGCCUUCUAUGAGGGAGGUUCUGCAUAUCUUGGUUAAUACCUGUCCUGCACCAGUUCGAAGGGAAAAGACCGAGUAUGCUGCUGCUCCUCUCCUCAAGAAUUCAAGCCGAGAGAGGGUUUUGGAAGAUCAAGAUGGUUUGGCAACGGAUGUGUGAUAAUUCCCAGAAGAUGACACCAAUAUGUUAGGAUCAGUCCACAUCCUAAUGGUUAUCCAGCCCAUUCUCUUACAACCUCUGUGCAGCUAGUACAUUGCAUCUCCAUGCCUCAGCUAGCAUCUAACUUCGCUUCGAUUGGGAGGGAGAAAGCAAUCUAGAAGAUAACUAAUCUUUAUGGACGUGAAUGCAUAAGAUGAGAUUCUGAGGUUUCAGAAAAUGUGAUACAGAGCAGAUAAGAUGAUGUACCAACAAAAAGAUGAGUUACAUUUUUUUUUUGAACAGUUAAAAGAUGAGUUACAUUAAUGAUUAAUGUAUUAAUCCAAGGAUUCAAAAAGCAUAUAGCAGUAUGAUGUUAUGAACUGAGAUACUGACAAUUUGAUGAUUUCGACUUUGGUUACCACCAAAAGUACAGUUGCUUAUGGUACAUGUUUUCAGACAAGAGUUUCGAAGAAUAUCAAAACUGGAUGCCUAUUCCCACUUCUAGAUAAAACUCUAAAAGAUGCAAAUAUAAAUAACCAUUUCAUACGGAGCAUUGUAAAAUGGGAAUCAUCCUAUAAAGACACUAGCUUAAUCUAGUGUAAUAAAUUUAAUGGAGUGUAGAAUCUUGAUCCAGUCCGUUAUUCUGCUGAGCAACCGCAUGAACUUCACUCUUCUCAUUGUUUCCCAUUAAGUGAUGAAGAAGCACGCCAGCUGCAACACUGACAUUCAAGCUCUCCACAGCCAAAAAUGACCUGAACUCUUCAGCAGAGCACCCAUGAUUCACUUCAACAGAUUCACUAUCAUCAAAUCCUCCGGCAGUUACAUCCACAGGAAUAUUUCCAGGAAUUCAAAUCAAUUGAGUGCAAGAUCUUUCCACCAAAGGCCUCAACCCAGUGCCCUCACUACCCAGAACAAGAAUGGUUGGUUCACUAGGUACUAUCUCAUUCAAGGGAAUAGCUUUGCUAGAAACAGAACCGCCAAGAACACGCCAACCAUUUUCAGAUGAGGAUGUUAGAAACUGCAUCAUGUUCUUACAAUAUCGCAACUCUAUUAACUCAAGUGAGCCUGCACUCGCUUUACUCACAACACCACUCAGCGAGGCUGAAUUCUUUGCACAUAACACCACCCCUGCAGCUCCAAAGUAGUGAGAGGACCUGAUGAUUGCCCCCAAAUUUUGAGGAUCUGUAACCUCAUCCAAAGCUACCCAAAGAGCACCCUUGUCUUCCUCGACUGAAAUAGGGUCCAAUUCCUUAAUUUUAACCAUCUCCAAUGGGGAAGCAUCUAGAAGCAGACCCUGAUGGGGUCGAUUAUCAGCAGCCAUAUUAAGAUCAUGCUUGCGCAACUCCUUUAUGGUCACCCCAAAAUUUACAGCCAUCCUCAAGACUCUCUCAAAUCCCUUCUUGUCUUCCUAUUAUUAUUGCUCAAAACCAAGCCUUCUUGAACAUACAACGUAUAAAAUUAUCUUCUUCCAGCUGACAAAGCAGCCAAAACUGGACCGACACCAUAAAGACCUUGGCCAACCAGUCUAGGUACCGACAAUUCACUAGCCUCUUGCCAUGUCUUUCUGCCCCAACUUUCCUGCCUAUCCCACCUUCAAUACUCAGGUUUCUCGGCAUUGACAUCUUCCAUUCUCCUGAACUUAUUCUUGAUCUGAUCCCACCUUGGAUCUUCACCAGCCUCCAUUUCUUCUUCCUCUCCACUCCCUUCUGAAUUGGCUUCUUCCUGUCUUCUAUCCCUCACACUGUACCACUGUACUCAUUUCGCCUAUCCCUCGCACCGUACUCACUUUGCCUAUCCCUCGCACCGUACUCACUUUGCCUAUCCCUCACACUGUACUCACUUCGCCUAUCCAUCAUUCCAUUUCUUCUUUCUGCACUCUUCCUUUCCGAUGGACCACCAAUCCGAACAAGACCUUCUGCAGACACCUCCCAAGAAGAUCGCUCAGUUUUCGGCUUCCUUUCUUCCUCUACUCUUUUCGCUGAUUUGUCCCAAGAGGACUUACUACGGCGUUCUCCACCUCUACUCCUGGCCUCUUCACCAGAAGAACCAGCAUUGCUGUCUUUCUCCAACCUCUUAGCAGACUCCCCCCAAGACGAAAGGGGUGUUUUCGUAGCCGUUGCUCACUGCUCCAACCGUUUCGCUUCCUUAGCUGCCAACCACGGCAGCCUACUUCCAUUAGUCCAAUUCGAAAAGCCUCUCCCUCUCACCAAAACCCAAUUCUGUGUACCACUUUUAACCCUGAACCCGCUCGAAUAACAUCUGGGUUUCACAACACCGUCAUUUCCUACAACCCUAUAACUAGAACCAUUAUGAAAAUCAACCAAGGGGGAUUGGGGUUUACUAAAGCUAAGGUUUAGUGAGGUUUUUGGGUGAGCACCAAUCUGUAAAGACUGGGCCUUUUGGGUGUCAAACCCUUUAAAGCUUCUGGGUUUCGAGCAAACCCUAAUAGCCAAUGGAAAUGCCUGACCCUUUGUCAAAUUAGUAGCAUACAUUUGGGUAGUAGCAACUAAUCACUAACAAGUUGACAACACCCUAGGAAACUUAAAGCUCGAAACUUCAAACCCAGAUAUCCAAAUCCAAAAAGAACAAAACUUGAACCAGAAAAUAAAAAAAUAGAAGGUUUUGAUUACUGGGUACCUUAUCCGCAAGACAUCGCUAAGCUGCUACCUUCUGAAAUUCAAUGAAGAAUGAAGAAGCUAGUAGCUGUGUGGAGAAGAGUGAAGACUGGUUGAAACGACGCCGUUCAGGAUAAGAAGUGUGAAAGUGACCGAAACACCCUUUUGGUACUGAACACACAGUAGGACAAAUGCUGGAUAAGAGUUGUUUUGUUUAGUAAUUUUGCUAUCAUUCUCUGCAGUUCUGCAUUUACUUGUGGAAAUUAAGAUGUUAAAUGCUGGACCUUUUGGUUUUAUGGAGCUUCUGUUGAAUAAACUCUGAGGUGGAAAUAGAUGUAAAGGUUAGACCUCUGUUAAAUUUUAACCUAGUUUUCUUAAGAUUAUGAAUUUUGAGAUGAUCUCUUCACUAGCAGAUUAUGUGCUUUGUUUCGUCACCUCUGCAAAAUUA
This 14749-nucleotide long non-coding RNA is filed under the name Fragaria vesca (wild strawberry). RNAcentral describes it as "long non-coding RNA (FVES_LNC000102)". Lineage: Eukaryota; Viridiplantae; Streptophyta; Magnoliopsida; Rosales; Rosaceae. The record is from RNAcentral.